RNA transcript from Mus musculus (house mouse), 3357 nucleotides. It is a transcript of the gene named transmembrane protein 183A, with no coding region annotated. The record is from RefSeq and is marked validated. The transcript is spliced from 9 exons. Lineage: Eukaryota; Metazoa; Chordata; Mammalia; Rodentia; Muridae.
CGGAGGCGAUUGGCUCCCCGAGAGGGGCGUCGGCAAUCAACGGGACCCAGAGCCCUCGCCGAAGUCCUCGCGAUAGCCGCGGCCUCGGUGCGGGGAUGGCCGCAGAGCCGGGUGGAGGUGCUCUGCGGCUCCGGGAGCCGGCUCUCGGGGCCGAGACAUGGCCCGGGGCUCCGGCCAGCUAGGCGGGCCUCAUCGGGACACCGUCACCAUGCCCAAGAGAGGAAAGCGGCUCAAGUUCCGGGCCCACGACGCCUGCUCGGGCCGAGUGACCGUGGCGGACUAUGCCAACUCGGAUCCGGCGGUGGUGAGGUCUGGACGGGUCAAGAAAGCCGUGGCCAACGCUAUUCAGCAGGAAGUAAAAUCUCUUUGUGGCUUGGAAGCGUCCCAGGUUCCUGCCGAGGAGGCUCUUUCCGGGGUGGGUGAGCCAUGUGACAUCCUGGACAGCAGUGAUGAGAUGGAUGCCCAGGAAGAAAGCACUCAGGAAAGAUCAGUCUCCAGAAAAAAGAAGAGCAAGAGACAUAAAGAAGACCCGGAUGGCACUGGAGAAGAGUAUCCUAUGGAUAUUUGGCUGCUGCUGGCUUCCUAUAUCCGUCCUGAGGACAUUGUGAAUUUUUCCCUGAUUUGUAAAAAUGCUUGGACUGUCACUUGCACUGCUGCCUUUUGGACCAGGUUGUACCGAAGGCACUACACGCUGGAUGCGUCUCUGCCUUUGCGGCUGCGACCAGAAUCCAUGGAGAAGCUGCGCUGUCUCCGGGCAUGUGUGAUCCGAUCUCUGUAUCAUAUGUAUGAACCAUUUGCUGCUCGAAUCUCCAAGAAUCCAGCCAUUCCGGAAAGCACUCCCAGCACACUGAAGAAUUCCAAACAUAGCUUGUGUGGGACACUGGAGCCGUUGUGAUGGCAGCAGAAGUGUUUUCCCCUAAAAGCCAAGCCCAUUAUUUUUGAUGGAGCAGCAGGACGUACAGGGCAUGUCUGAAGGCAGGACAGCUGGCACGGCGGACGACCCACCCCUUGUCCCCUGGGAGUGCUUACUUUUCUGGUGCAGAAAGAUUGUUGGGAACAGACAAGAACCAAUGUGGGAGUUCAACUUCAAGUUCAAAAAACAGUCCCCUAGAUUAAAGAGCAAGUGUAUGGAACGGUUGCAACCGCCCAUUCAAUAUCAAGAUGUCCAUACCAACCCUGACCAGGACUGCUGCCUACUGCAGGUCACCACCCUCAACUUCAUCUUUAUUCCUAUUGUCAUGGGGAUGAUAUUUACCUUGUUUACCAUUAAUGUGAGUACAGACAUGCGGCAUCAUCGAGUGAGAUUGGUGUUCCAGGAUUCUCCUGUCCGUGGUGGUCAGAAUCUGCGUAGUGAACAGGGUGUGCAAGUCGUCCUGGACCCGGUGCACAGUGUUCGGCUCUUUGACUGGUGGCAUCCGCAGUAUCCAUUCUCCCUGAGAGCAUAGUUCCUGCUUCCUGUCCCUCGGGAUAGCUUCCAGUCUAGUCCAUUAGUAAUCAGAUUCUGUUUGGAAGGGGCAGCUGUAUUGUGUAGCUGAUUAGUGAUGCACAGGCUGUUUGGGUUCCUGGGGCUCCUGUUACAGGAGGUGGAAAGGUUGAAUCAAGAGGAAAACCAACUAUGAUUUAUAAACAUUUUCAUGUAAAAUUUGCAUAUUUGAAAGGAGAAACCUGGCCUCAUUUUCUGUGUUAAACCUCAAUUGGUGCUGUUGAGUUUGUUCUUCGUUCAUUUAUCUCAGCAAAUGGAUGAUCUUUCGUUAGGGGAAAGUUAAACUCUUACUCUUCAUGGAAGAACGUUUUUCCUUACAGAUUAGAGGAACUCAGAGGCUUAAAAUGGUUGCUCCAAUGUUGCUGCUCCUCAAAUUCAAGUGAAUAUUUUUUUCUUUUCCCUUUACCCUUCUCCAGAAAUAAAGCAGGUGACAGGGUUGUCAGAAUCUUAUAAGAUUGAUUUGUGCAUCUUUUAAAAAAAAUGCUUUUUGGAUAUUUAUUACAUGAAUAUUGAUUGUUUUGAUGAUUUUGUAUUUUGGGUUUUUGUUUUAUUGCAUGAGACUUAAUAGUGAUGGUAAUAAUUAUGUGCCCCUGGUACUGUUCUAAGAACUUUAUAGAUUGUGUCUCUAAUCCUUGUGUCUUGCAAGGUAGUUGAAACCCUUCCCAUUUUAAGGUUGAGAAGCUGAAUCAUUGAUUUACCCAAGGCCAGAACUGCUGGUCCAUGCAGAGCCAGGAUUCUGACCCCUGUCUUUUGCUACACAACAACUUCAAAGGCCAGUUUCAUUUUUCGUGUGGUACUUAGUGGUACAAAGAGGAGGCAGAGUGUGAGGAAAAAGUAAAACAAUGAGUUAUUUGAAUCUUUCAGAUAGCUAUGCAUUAACUGAAAGGUAAGGCAGAGUUUAGGAAAAUUGUGUUUACAUUAAAUUGUUAGGCUUUAUAAUGCUAAAGGUCAUCUUUAAAAAAUACAUUGCAUGUUGAAAGCAGCCUUCAAAUAGAGCAAUUAGUGGCUUUUCUCUGCCCUGUCCUGUCCUUUGAUAUCUUUGUUUUUCCUUUUUAAAUCAUCCUGUGUGCAUUCAGGAUCCUGGUCUUCAUACAGAGAUGUUGACACCCUUCUUAGUCACAGUUCUUACUGUCACUGGCAUGCUCUGAGAAAAGGAUGUGGGUGGGGUUUUGUUUAUUUCUUUUGCUAAGAAGAAAGUCUUACUGCUUCCUUUCCCACCUGGAUGUGGCAGGAGAUGCUCAUUAAGACAAUGCUCUCCUACUCAAGACCUGGAGUUCAUCCUGUAGCGCUGCAGUCCAGCCUCCCUGCCCCACAAAAAUAGUCCUUUGGAGACAGGGUCUUGCUGUGUAGCCCAGGCUGGCCUUGCACUUAAUCCUCUUACUUUAGCUGCCUGGAGUUGUUGGGUGAGUCACCAGACAGGACAAAGACAGAAAAUGUUCUUUAAACAUAAAAAUAUUGUGGGGUGGAUACUUUUGUGAGCUAAAUUGCUAAAUGAGUAUGUUGGUUUUUAUCUUUCCCCACCCCAUGCUAUUUAAAGACCAUUCUUAAGCAUCUGUUUAAUGCUGCUGCUGACAGCAGCCGUACCCACACUGAGGGGCAUGCUGUCACUGGUUGAACAGAUAGUGAGCCUGGGUCAAUAAAAAGAACCACCAGAAUUUGGGUACUUAAUUAACAAAGCAAACAAAAACCCUAGGACAGUAAGCCUCCACAGAUCUCUGCAGUCAGAAGCUGCCUAGAGGCAGAAGAAAAGAAGCACAGAGUCUGGAGUUCCCUGAACAAAAGAUGCCAUGGAGCAGGGGAAGUUGUCCUUGUGGAUUGUGUGUCUCCCAUUUAGGUUUACCCUGAGUGGGUGAAAUAAAUGUGGCUUAAUUGUU